AGUGAACGCUGGCGGUAGGCCUAACACAUGCAAGUCGAACGGCAGCACAGUAAGAGCUUGCUCUUACGGGUGGCGAGUGGCGGACGGGUGAGGAAUACAUCGGAAUCUACUUUUUCGUGGGGGAUAACGUAGGGAAACUUACGCUAAUACCGCAUACGACCUACGGGUGAAAGCAGGGAAUCUUCGGACCUUGCGCGAUUGAAUGAGCCGAUGUCGGAUUAGCUAGUUGGCGGGGUAAAGGCCCACCAAGGCGACGAUCCGUAGCUGGUCUGAGAGGAUGAUCAGCCACACUGGAACUGAGACACGGUCCAGACUCCUACGGGAGGCAGCAGUGGGGAAUAUUGGACAAUGGGCGCAAGCCUGAUCCAGCCAUACCGCGUGGGUGAAGAAGGCCUUCGGAUUGUAAAGCCCUUUUGUUGGGAAAGAAAAGCAGCAGGUUAAUACCCCGCUGUUCUGACGGUACCCAAAGAAUAAGCACCGGCUAACUUCGUG
This 492-nucleotide ribosomal RNA is filed under the name uncultured bacterium. RNAcentral describes it as "partial 16S ribosomal RNA". It matches the Rfam family "Bacterial small subunit ribosomal RNA", at positions 29 to 507 of the family's 1533-position model. The record is from RNAcentral.